Molecule: long non-coding RNA, 888 nt
Organism: Ceratitis capitata (Mediterranean fruit fly)
Lineage: Eukaryota; Metazoa; Arthropoda; Insecta; Diptera; Tephritidae
Exons: 2
Source: RefSeq, a predicted model, not a curated record
UAUAAUAUAUAAAUUGUACAUUUUCGCUUAAAUGAAGUGAUUUUAUUUAUAAACUUAAAUAAAUCACGGCGAGAGCAAGUCGUGGUGUGGUGGCAACAGCGAAGUAAGAAAAUUGACGCAUGCGCAAGUGCGAAGAGUGUGAAAUUUCUCUAAAGUAAGGUCUAACUUUAGGCGUUUACUAAUUUAAUGCUUGACUUGACUUGAAAUCUUAUUCAAAAGCACCAUUUUGAGACAUUUUCUUUAUUUUAUAGCAAUUGAUUUUUUUUGCGGUUUAAAUUUUUUAACAGUAAACAUUUAAAAUUUGUCAAAUAUCAUACAGAAAUAAUAUUUAAAAAUUUUUGAAUUUUCUUCAAACUUAAAAAUAACUGCUGUAUUUUGUGCGAAAAUACCUUAUUUCUGCUCUUUUUGUGCAGCAAAACUUUUAAAAAUGUAGCGAAAGUAAAGAGGAAAAAUCAUUUAAAUUUAAAAAAAUUUAGAGAAAAAUCGCAACAUUUUUUCCCUCAAUGUACGUAAGCAUGGUCGUUUGAAAUAGUAGAAAUCUUUAAAAAGGAAUAAUAAGAAUAAAAAUGAAAAAAACGCACUAUAAACAACAAAAAAAAAAACAUACAUACAUACAUAAAAAAUGUUGGAAAAAAUGCAAAAUUUUGUGUCUGCAAAAGAGUUUGGCUUACUUAUGAAUGAAAAAAUGUAUCAGCGAAAAAUGUGUAACAAAAUGGUGAAUCUUUCUUAAGUUCCUGCUGCUAUUGUAAAAUUCCAAAUUUCUAUCCUAUGAAUGUUUUAAUAGAAAAUAUGAGAAACUAUGUAAGUGGUGCUGCGUUAGGCGUGGCUCUUUUUUAUUACAAACUACCGAUAAAUGAAUAAAAAGCACAUACAUACUAUUAUAUACUA